Clunio marinus is the source of this 100-nucleotide long non-coding RNA. It matches the Rfam family "Sphinx_ conserved region 1". NCBI's taxonomy places the organism in Eukaryota, Metazoa, Arthropoda, Insecta, Diptera, Chironomidae. The record is from Rfam.
AAAACAUGGCAUUCGGUGAUUAUCCUCCUGAGUAUAAUCCAAAAAUUCAUGGAGUUUACGAUCCAGCACGGUACUAUGGAAAACGUGAGUAAAUAUUUGA